RNAcentral lists this long non-coding RNA (301 nucleotides) under Ananas comosus (pineapple). RNAcentral describes it as "long non-coding RNA (ACOM_LNC008765)". Lineage: Eukaryota; Viridiplantae; Streptophyta; Magnoliopsida; Poales; Bromeliaceae. The record is from RNAcentral.
UUUUUUUAUAUCAUUUACCUAGUGAUCGAAAGGAUUCAAAAAUCCAUAAUUUUUAAUGGUUGAUAUCUGCCGUUUUCACGUUUAACAGUGUAGAAGUAUUCAAAUCAGAUGAAAUUUUGAUAGAAAAUUCUUUAUACUAUCUACAACAAGAUCUAUAUUUCUGAUCGAAAAUUUUAGUGCUAUAUCACCACUUUUUAUAGGAUUUUUAUUUUCAGCCGUUAAAAAUUAUUGAUUUUGAAUCCUUUCGAUUGCUAGGUAUAUGAUAUCGAAAAAUCGCAAAAAUUAUUUUCUAGAAACUUUA